AUGAUCAUCCUUUUUUUCUUUCUCACUCUCCAAUUCCUCCUCUUUCUCAUUUUUAUUUUCUUCAUCACCAUUUACGGACCCUUGUCCACCUCCGUCAGUAUUGUUUUCACAUCUCUCCGCAGCUUCACUUUUCCCUGACUGAGAUUGUUCAGGAAGUUUCUCUGAAUCCCUCUGUACUGUAGUUUUUUUUAGUGGUUAGACGUUGAUCCAUUUUAACUUUCUUUUCUUUUGGGAGACAUGUUUUACCUACAAACAAAGAAAAACAAAAAUUACAUUAUAAUUGAUGUAUGCAUAGAUUUUUAAAAAUACAUUACAAACACCACGAAUACCGACACACCAAUAGCCACCACCACAAACACCACCAACCAACGCCAAAACAAACAAACAAACACUACGAAUACCGAUAUCACUGACAGCCACCACAAACACCACCAACCAGUGCCACCACAACGACCACAAACACCACCACCAAUACCAUCCAACAAUAUCGCGACAGUCAAUAGAAAACUGCAAUGGAAACUAGGGAUUUCUCGAGUUCUUCCUAUGAUUUUACCAUCAAAACUCAAAAUUGUAAACCCAUUCUCGAAGAUAAUACAACUAAAAAUUUUAUUUUGCAUCAUUAACUUAAAAAGCCCUUAUUGUUUAGAAAAAAAUAACAAAUAUAGAGCUCUUCUCGAACUCUGUUACUUAUGAAGACAAAUAAAACGACUGAUACAAGCAAGAAUAAAGUUGAAAAUAACACCUAUGUGGUCGAAAAUGAGAAGAAAAGUGAUCUGUUGCGGAGGGUUGAGCAAAUUUGGAGUAGUUAUUGUCUGUACUGUAUUGUUGAGUAAGAAUGAGAUAGAAAGAGUGAGACCUCGAGAUUUUAAAUGAUGAAACGUUUUGUAUGGGUUGAUUUGUAUUUUGGAAAAGAAUGACAAGUAGUUUUAAAAAUGUUAAUUUGGUCCGAAUUGAUCUUAAUUAUUUUUAAAAUCAUAAAAUAUAUGUGUAAUUUUUAACCCUCUCAUCAUGCAAUUGCCAAAAGGGUAAUUAAAUUAAAAUUUUAUAAAAAUAAUUGAAGUUGUAAUUGACUGAGUACUCUAGGAGGUGACCCUAUGAAAACUCGCCCCUGGUCCUAGAUUAAUCAAUUUAGGUACUAUUAGUCUAACAUAUGAACUCAAUUGAAAUUGUAAAAAAUAAAUAUUCAACAUGUUGCGUCAGAUUUCUCAUCUGUUGUAAAUUAUCAAUCAGAUUAGAUAACAACAAAUUACGAAUCUGAUGUAAAUUAUCAAACAGAUUAAGCCAUCUGUUGCGAUAGAUUACCCAUCUGUUGUAAAUUAUCAAAUAGAUUAUCAUAUGUCGCAACAGAUUAUGCAUAUAUUGUAAAUUAUCAAAUAGGUGCGGCCAUCUGUUGUGGCUGACCCUAUGAGAACUCACCCCUAGUCCUAUAUUAAUCGAUAGUUUACCCUAUGAGAACUCACCCCUAGUCCCAGAUUAUUCAAUCAAGGUAUUAGUACCCUAGUCCUAGAUUAAUCAAUGAAGGUAUUUGUCUAACAUAUGAGGUAGUAAGAAUUAGUUUGGCUCAGAGUGAUCGAUCGACGACUCUGAUCGGGAGGAACGUAGUACCGUCUCAUCAUGCAAUUUCCAAAAGACUUAAUUGAAGUUGUAGUUGACCCUAUGAGAACUCACAUUCGAUUAAGGUAUUAGUCUAAUAUAUGAACUCAAUUGAAUUAUAUAUAAGCAAAUAUUCAACCUUUUGCAACAGAUGUAUUUUAUGUUUGAUCAAAUCAAACAGAUUAUGUUAUCUAUUGCAACUUAUUAUGCAUCUAUUGUAAAAUAUCAAACAGAUUAAGUCAUUUGUUGUGACAGAUCAUGAAUCUUCUAUAAACUAUCAAACAAAUUAAGUCAUCUGUUGUGAUAGAUAUCUAUUGUAAAUUAUCAAAUGGAUUAAGUCAUAUGUCGUAAUAGAUUAUUCAUCUGUUGUAAAUUAUCAAAUAGGCACUGUCAUCUAUUGUAGUUGACAUUAUGAGAACUCACCCCUAGUCCUAGAUUAAUCAAUUAAGGUAUAAGUUGAACAUAUGAGGUAGUAAGAAUCGUUUCGGCUUAGAGUGAUCAAUCGACGACUUUGGUCUGGAGGAAUGCAGUACCGUCGCAUCAUGUAAUUGAAAAAAGACUCAAUUGAAGUUGUGGUUGACUCUAUGAGAACUCACAUUUGAUUAAGGUAUUAGUCUAACAUAUGAACUCAAUUGAAUUAUAUAUAAGCAAAUGUUCAAUUUGUUGCAACAUAUGUAUUUUCUGUUGGAUCAAAUCAAACAGAUUAUGUAUCUUUUGUAAACUAUCAAAUAGAUUACAUCAUUUAUUAUGAUAGAUCACAAAUCUGUUGUAAACUAUCAAACGAAUUAAGUCAUCUGUUGCGAUAGAUUACCCAUCUGUUGUAAAUUAUCUAAUAGAUUAAGUCAUAUAUUGCAAUAGAUUUCCCAUCUGUUGUAAAUUAUCAAUUAGGCGUUGUCAUAUAUUGUAGUUAACAUUAUGAGAACUCACCCCUAGUCCUAGAUUAAUCAAUUAAGGUGUUAGUCUAACAUAUGAGGUAGUAAGAAUUAGCUCGGCUCAGAGUGAUUGUAACACCCCGUAUUCAAGUACGUGUAUAGGCUUAUUCAAGUACGUGUAUUGAUCUUAUUUAUAUGGAAUUAAUUUUAUUUUAUUUUAUUUAUACCAAAAUUUGUCCGUCGAUGGUUCCAUACGAAGGUUAUUGAAUAAGAUUUCCAAUGAUAUAAAGAUUUCCAAAAACGGAUAGGUUUUGGAUAUAAUCGAGCACGUUCGAAACUAUAAAACGGUGGCCGGGAUAUUGGGAAUAGUAAAUGUGCAGGAAAAUUUCCUGCACACAAACUACUGAGGCCAGCCAAUUUUUUGGGUCAACUUUGAACGAUCAUAACUCCCUUAAUAUAAUGAACUGGGAGAGCUGCGACCUAUAAAAAGAAAUAUCUUUGAGUCUUCUUUCCAACGCAAUUGGUUUCAUCCAAAUCCAACAUCUAAGUAAGGAGUUAUACUCGUUUUACUUCAGCCUCUCAAAAUAGAUUUUUAGGGUCAACUUCAAACGAUCAUAACUCCAUGUACAGUUAUACUCGUUUUACUUCAGCCUCUCAAAACAGAUUUUUAGGGUCAACUUCAAACGAUCAUAACUACUUGUACAGGACGAACUGGGUGGAUUAAUUUAUAUUAAAUGAAAUACCUUUGAAUUAUCUUUCUAACGAUACCAAUUUCACCCAAAUCCGAUAUCGGAGCAAAGAGUUAUGGCCGAUUUACUUUAGCCUAUCAAAACAGUCCACCAUGGACAGAUUCGGAUUUACUUAAAUUUUUAAGGGCAAUAUGGUCAUUUUCCAUCACCUCAUGGACGAAAAUUGGUCAUUAUAUACAUAUACUUAGCCUUAUAUCCACCAUUUAUCAUCCAAAUCAUUGAAGAAUAAGAAACCCUAGCCUAAGUUCAACUCCAAUUAUCUUGUGAUUCAACCGUAGAAAAUCCAAAUUGAUUCCGUAGUUGUGUUCACCGUCUCAAGGGCUUCGAGAAGCACCCCUUAUUUGUGCCAACAGGACUUCGAAAUCAAAAGGGCCAUUUUUUUUGGUAAGGAUGUAAAUUAUGUUGGUGUUAUUUAUAUGGAUAUGUAUAUAUAUAUAUGCAUGUGAGCAUAAGAAGUAUGUUAUUUGAUUGUUGUUGAAAGAUGAUUGGAAAUGAUGUUGGAUUAUUCUUGUGCAUGGUUGGAUUAUGUUAAAUUGUGAAGGAAUUUGGGGUGAUGAUGUGGUAUUGAUGAUGUGGUAUUGAAAUGAUGAUUAUAUAUAUAUACACACAUAAACCUAUUGUUCAAGUUGGUUUUUGGAAUGUUUUGCAAAUAUUGGUAGUAUGGAAUUAUGGAAGAGAAUUGUGGUGUUGGGUUGCUAAUACUAGAUGCCAAACAUUUCAUUGUAGAUAAGUGAUUUGUAAAGGCGGGAAGUUGUGUUGAAUUGGUAGCUGAAUCUACAACGAGGUAUGUAAAGCAUACUCUAACAAUGUUCUUUGGCAUGAAAACACCAAUGUUCCAUCAAGUAAGAUUCCGAGGUUGUCCAAAAACAUGUAUUGUUCUACGUUACCAACGAAGUUGUUUCCAUCCUAUAAAGUGUCAAAAUGUUUCAUUGAUAUACCAAAAGGCUCCUAUUUCAUUGUUGUGAUAUUGAUGAUUCUGAAACACAUUGUUGAUGUACCAAUGAGUCUUUAUUACAUCGUUAUUGUAUAGAAGGUCUAUUACUUGGUUCCUAUUGAUGUAUCAUUGUUUCAAAGUAUCAAAAAUGUGGUGGCGACCGAAAUAACAAUCUCAAAGAUUAAUUGAACUAAGUGAUGGAAGUUCUCUCUUAUCGGGUGGUAUCCCAGGGGCAUAAGCCUAGCAUGGGUCGAUCCCUAUUUAUGUGUUUAUGGGUGGUAUCCCAGGGGCAUAAGCCUAGCAUGGGUCGAUCCCAGUUGAUAUGUACUGGAGGCAUCCUAAUGGUCACAGUACAGUACAGUAAUGAUUACAAAGACGAUAAGAACGAAGGUAAAGUGAUUGAAUAAAUACAAUGUACAGGUUGUCACAAGUUCUAGUAAGUGUGGUCCACUCCUAUUAUGAUUUAUUCACUUGUUUCUGAUUUCUAUUGAGCUCCUAUAUCAUAUGUGAUUAUCUACAGCUUUACAUACUCAGUACAUAUUUCGUACUGACGUCCCCCACGGGAGACUUGCAUUUCAUGCUGCAGGCACAGGUACCUCAGCUCAUACACCGCACAAGUAGGAGCCAGGAUAUCUAACUGCUUUUGGUGAGCUCCAGUUUGCUUCGGGGUUUUCCGUGUCAUAUCCAAUCACUUUUGGUAUUGUAUAGAAGUUAGUUAUAUGGCGGGGUGUGUCCCUACCUUAGUUAAACUCUGUGUAUUGUCUAGAGGUUUUGUAGACCUAAUGUACAGUAAAGGCGGUGUUUUGUUAAUAAACGUGAUGGAUCCAACAACCAAGUAUUGUAUAUACAUAUAUAUGUGUGCUCGAGCUUAUACAGGUGAUUAUUUCCUUUUAUAUGUGACAUGAUGUUGUCCGAAUUUCGGGUUGUCAUAGAGGUAUGCAUGGGAAGUAUAAGGUUAUGAGAUGGUUCUCCCGGACCUCCUCGGUUACGGGUGCCAGUCCGCCCCAAUAGGAUUUGAGGCGUGACAGUGAUCAAUCGAUGACUCUGGUCAAGAGGAACGCAGUACCGUCUCAUUAUGCAAUUGCCAAAAGAAUCAAUUAAAGUUGCAUUUGACCCUAUGAGAACUCACAUUCAAUUAAGGUAUUAGUCUAACAUAUGAACUCAAUUGAAAUUAUAUAUAAAUAAAUUUUCCACAUGUUGCAAUAGAUGUCAUUUUUGUUGGAUCAAAUUAAAUAGAUUAGGUAAUCUAUUGCAAUAUAUUACCCAUCUGUUGUAAAUUAUCAAAUGGAUUAAGUCAUAUAUAGAAAUAGAUUACCCAUCUGUUAUAAAUUAUCAAACAUGCAUUGUCAUCUAUUGCAGUUGACAUUAUGAGAACUCACCCCUAGUCCUAGAUUAAUCAAUUAAGUUAUUAGUCUAACAUAUGAGGUAGUAAGAAUUGGCUCGGCUCAGAGUGAUCAAUCGAUGUCUCUAGUAGGAAGGAAAGCAGUAUCGUCUCAUCAUGAAAUUGCCAAAAGACUCAAUUAAAGUUGUAUUUGACCCUAUGAGAACUCACAUUCAAUUAAGGUAUUAGUCUAACAUAUGAACUCAAUUGAAAUUAUAUAUAAAUAACUUUUCAAUAUGUUGCAAUAGAUGUCUUUUCUGUUGGAUCAAAUCAAACAGAUUAGGUAAUAUGUUGCAACAUAUUACUUAAUUAUUGUAAAAUAUCAAACAGAUUACAUCAUUUGUUACGAUAGAUCAUGAAUCUAUUGUAAACUAUCAAACAGAUUGUAAUACCCCAUAUUUUGGACUAGAAUAAAAAUCCAUCAUUCCUAUACGUAGACGUUUCAAAAGCCUCAAAUUUUAUGUAAAUUUAGUGUAUUAAUAAACUAUGUAGUGUGGAAAUCUAUUUGAGCAUAAAUUUAGAUCAUAGAGGUUCCCUAACUCAAGUAACGUUUGAAAGCUUUCCUAUCGUUCAAGUUUUAGUGCGCGUCAAAACUUGGGUUAACUUCAAUCGGUCAUAACUCCUUUUAUAUAUUGAAUUAUAUGGACUACUAUAUAUCAAAUGAAAGAUCUUUGAAUUAACUUUCCAAAGAUACCAAUUUUGCCCAAAUCCAACAACCGAGCAAGAAGUUAUAUGACAAUGAAAAUUGGAGUACAUUGCCUAACGUAAGGUGUACUAUGCACAACCUAAAGUAUGCCAUAAUGUGUGCGAUGCACAACCUAAUAUGUGCAAUAAGGUGUAUAAUGCAUACCCUAAUGUGUACGAUAAAGUGUGCGCCGCACAUAUUGUAGUCCAGGUGACUUAAAUAGUCCGUUUUGAGGGACAAAAUGGUCCUUUUCCCACCCCUAUAUAAUGCCUAAACACGAAAUUAAGCCCUUAUUUCACCAAAACAUAUUCUUUCUCUCAAAAUCCUCUCAAGAACACAAGCUAGGGUUUUCAUAGAAGAUUUAAGUUCAAUCAAUUCUCUCCAUCAAUCUUUAUGUAAUCAAGAAAUAAGGUAUGCAUAGUGUACAUCCACGGAUCCCUUUCAUCCAUGGAGCUCAAGAACUAUGUUUUAAAUAAUAAAUUAUGAUCUUUAUGUUGUUGUGUGAUUAUGUUAAUGUUGAUGGUUAUUAAUUGUGUUUCAAGAUGGUAUCCAAAUGUGUUUCCAAGAAGUGUAUGGGCAUGAUAGUUUGAAACCCAUGAAUUUGGGUGGUUCAAGAUUUCUAAAUUUGUUAAUUACACCUAUGCUAAAUAUUGUGCAUGUAAGGUGUUUGAUAAAAUGCCUAGAAUUAUAAAAAUAAUGUAUUAUAACUUAGGGGUGAACUAUAUGAUAAAUUCAUGCUAGUCUAUUAUGUUCAAAGAGCUCACUUGUAAUUGUUGUGCAAUAUAUGUGUUAAUGGAAUGUACAUGAUGAUUGGGGAAUGGAUUCAUAGUGUGUUUAUAUGUCUUCCAUGCUAUGAAAAAGAUCAUGAUUUUGAAGUAUCACAUGAGUUAUCCCCAAAUUACUACAAUAUGAACUAAAUGUUACAUGUUUACCAUUCCCUUAUGCUUAAAUGGUUUCCAUGCCAUUGUUAUGAACAGUAUAUGUGUUGAAAUUCCCAUGAUAUUAGAAUAUGAGAUUUAUGAUUUAAUUUCAAGCAUUCCCAUUCAUGUUAGAUAUUAUGAUGACCAUGUACUUCAUGAAAUCCCACACUCAUGUAUUAUGGAUUAUUAUUGAUGGUCAUGUAUUCAAGAAAGUCACGUUGUGUCAGUUUCCUUCCAUCGAGUCCUGGGGGUACUUGUACCCAAAAAAUGUAGUUGUGUGCCUAGAUCCAUGUCAUGUUAUCACGAUACUCUCAGUCAAGCCAUGAUCUAUAGAAUUCAGUCAGUCAUGUGACUCAGAAAAACUCAGUAAUUUCAGUAAUCUCAAUAGUCCAGUAAUCUCAGUAACCUUAGAAACCUCAGUAAUCAUAGUUAAUCUUAGUAACUUCAGUACUCUCAACCAGUCCUCAGAACUUAGUAUAUUCUGUCAGUCAUCGAAAUCCAAUAAACUUAGUUUAGCUCCACUAAAUAAUACCACUAGUAUCAGUCCAAUUAAUCAGUAUCAGUUCAGCUAAUCAUUUCUAUUUAGUUAUUCAGUUUAGCAUAGUUAUUCAGUUCAUUGUCUUUCAAAUUGGAGUAGAAGUUAGCACCGAGUAAACCCAAGGAUGGGUACUCACCUACCAGUUUAGGGUAUGAUUCUUAGAAGUCAUCCUUGCUUUCCAGAAUUACGUAGCUAGCGUAGGUUGAGACAUCUUAACCUGUCAGAUUAGGGUUAAUAAGGUGGCUUAACCUAUCAGUUUAGGGUUGCCACCAUUCUCGUUUGAGUACCUACCAGAUAAGGGUUACUCUAAGCUGUCCUUACUAGUGGCGCAGUAUUAACACCCCUCCAGUUGGGGUAGAGACUGGACCUCAAUUAGCUAUAUGCAUUAUUGAGGCAUGUCGGUUAGAUAACUACUUCCCACAGUCUCAGUUUCUGUCCCAGUCUCAGUAAAAGAACUCAGAUAGUUCUUCAAAUUUCAGGAUUGUCAGAUACAGUCAACUCAGAAAUAGAACGGAACUCAGGUAGUUCUUUUAGAUUUAUGGACUGUUAGAUAUAGUCACUUAUGCUAUCAGUUAUAUCAGUUCACAAAACCCAUGUUAUCAGUCACAUCAGUUAUCAGAAUUUAUAAUAUCAGUAUUCAACAUCAGAACUAUCAGACACAGUCAACCAAACCAUUUUUUCAUAAUUAGAAUGAUCAUAUACGAUUAUUCAUGUAUCGAUAACAUAGUACUAGUCCCUCAGUAUUUAGUAAUACAGUAUCAGUUCCUCACUUAUUAGUGAUUUACAUACUCAAAUAUUCAGUUUCAGGACUGUUAGACACAGUUAAUCAGACUAGUUCUUUAUAAUUCGAACUAUCAGAAAUACUCAUUCAUCUAUUCAGUAUCUCAGUAUCAGUACACUCAUGUUGUCAGUAUUUAGAUGCAGUAGUCAGUAUCUACACGAGUUUAGUUACAAUUACGUAUGCAUGUUGGUAUUCUAACGUUCAUAUUAGUCAAUAUUAUUCAUGCAUAUAACCCUUUCCAUUUAGCCUACCUCACUCAUAUACUCAGUUCAUUCAGACGUACUAACGUAUUUGUGCUAUGAUGCUUUCUCUUAUGUUACACCAUAGGUUUAGAGGCAUGAGUUCCAAAUCAAUAGUAGAUUCCAGUAUCAGCAGUCAGAGUUAAAAAUGAGUCCUUAUAUUUCAAGGACAUAAUGAUUUCAUUACUAUUUCCGUUUUUAGUUUAUUUCAGUAGUUGGAGUUAGUUGGGGACAUAUCCCAUCAACUCCUUAUUUAGAUAGUUAGAGGCUUUCUAGACUAUAGCAUGUCAGACAGUUAUUUCAGAUUUGUUUUGGUAUUGUUAUACCAUUUUCAGACAUUGUUCUUAUCAGAUAUUUUUAUUUAUAUUUGAACCUUAUGGCCAUUCAGUACAUGUUUUUGCAUUUUCAUGUUAUAUUAUGCAGUUUAUAAGUAUAGAUAUUAGUCAUGGCUUAGAUUAUGGUCCUUUGGGGUCAUGAGCACCAUGUAGCAUUCCGAUUCCAAAAAUCGGGGUGUUACAAACUUGGUAUCAUAGCCUAAGGUUCAAUAGAGUCCUAGGAUAUCUGAAAGCCAAAUCUAGUAGAGUCUUGUACAUGCGCAUAUUGUGCACCACACUUAUAUGCAGGAGAUUUAGAUAUGCCAUCAGAUCCCUUCUCAAAAUCCUAUGAUAGUAUAUGACCCAGAGUUAGAAGCAUGAACCCAGGAGUUUAGCAGUAGACAAGUUGGGAUACGAUAUCCAGAUUGAAUAGAUUAUGUAUUUAUGAGGAUAGUUGUUCUAUAAUGAAUAAGUAGGCUUGAACAGUGUAAGUUAGAAAUUUAAGUUUAUUGACUUAAAAUUAAGAAUGAAGGUGUGAAUGUGAUAUUAGUAGUAUGUGAGGAAACAAAGGCAGAUGAUGUGUUUAGUAAGGCAGAGAUUAGUUUAGUGUUCACAGACUUAUGAUGAUGGCUUAAAGCUAAGAGAGAGAUGAUAGAUCAAGUAACCAAGUUAGGCUCUCAUAUUCCAGUAGUAGUGCCAGUAUGUACAGAAAAGUAAUUAGGGAAGGCGAUUCUCGACCCAUCCUUAUCUCAGCGUAAAGCUUCGUACUUCAGUUAGCAUAGUGCCUAUGCAUGCUUUAUGUCUCAAAUUCCAUGUAUAUAGAUUAUGUUCACACAUAUUCCAUAGAAUUGUGUGCGCUUUUAGUUCCUAAUAUAGGGAGUUCAGUUCCAGCUCACUCAGUGUUACGAAUUAUGUUCCAUGAACUCAGAAAUUCUAGACUCAGGUCAUGCAGCUCAUGACUCAUGUACACGUAUCAUGCUCCCCAAUAUACUCAGCUUCCAUGACUCAUGCUACGCCCCCACUGAUUAGAUAAAUUCAGAAUAUAUCAUGUAUAUACUCAGUUUAGACCUUUUUGGUAAAUCCAUGUUGUUGAUAUUCUAUUCCUCAGGUUUUAAUCAUGUGUCAAAUUCAGUCAGUAUCCACACAUGUUUUAAGUCCUCCUAAUGUAACCUCUUUAACGAGCUCUCUUUAUGAGAAUAGUGUAGUGUUGAAAAAUUGCUUAGAUGGGAGAGAGUUAAUGUUUCAUGUUAAAACUAAACUAUUGCAUUCAUGUUUUAUACGAGAGUAUAGUUACGAAGAUAGGCUUGAAUAUCCUGUUAGGAUGCAAGCAAAGGGCUAGCAAGAGAUAGUACUUAGAAAUUAGAAAAAAAAUUCAGAGUGUGAAUAUAUAUUCAGAUCCUUGACUUAUGUCAACCUUCGUGGUGCUACUAUCAUAACUCAGUUUCCCUCUCAGUUACAAUUUUAGUACUCAACACUCAAUAAUUAGUGCUCUCUCUUAGAAUUAAGCACUUCAGUAUCAGUCAAAACCUCAGUUUCAGUAUUCAAUUAUCGGGACCUAACAUUUAGUUUCAGUAUGGAUCCCAGUUACAGUCUUAAGUUAUAGUGUCAGCUUCAGAUCUGUAUUCAUCUCAAAAAUUUAGUUUAGUUUUAGACUUGCUUGACCAUAGCAUACAAUUAUCAGCUACUCAGUUAUAUAUAUUCCAAUACCUCAGUCUAUGGAAUGCUUCAAAAUCAUGCAAUACGUUUGGUCCUACAUUUUCAUACAAUAUAGCUUUCAUGAAAUCCAUGAUCAGUUACCUAUGUUACUCAGUCAGUCCCUUCUGAUAUGCAUAAUACUUUCUGGCCUCAUCCCAGCUACUUAGAUUAAGUACAAUUCAGUCUUGCAUACCCAAUAUUCAGUUACCAGUUACUUAGUUAAUCAGAUAAGUCACUAUGUCUAUGCAUUUGUGCAUCAUGCUUCAGUUUCAAAUCUCAGAUAAUCAUUCAUGAUUUCGUACCUAGGUGCCUUGUGCAUUGCCUCACCUUUCUCAGUAUCUAGCAAGGUUAGUCCAACAUCUUUUAUGGGACAUAGUGUCCUGAGGAGGAGAUACACUAUAGCCCCCAAACUUCCUUGAUUUAAACAUGUCAUUUUAUUUGAUGAAUCUAUCAUGGAGGAAGUGUUACUUAUAAGAUGACCCUUUAGCUUCAAAAAUCAGAAGUAAGCCUUGUACUCAAUGGAUCAGUGUAGCCACGAUAUGAUACUCUGUCCAUGUCACGUAUUACAGACUCAGUUCAGUUCAUGUAUUAUGUUCUAGAAUUAGUUAUGUUCUUAUAUUUUCGGUCAUGCAUAUUGAGUAAUCAAUCUCAGACUCAUCUGUAUUUUCAGUUCAUGGUAGCAGUCUUCUUUGAGCUUACUCAUUCUCAUGUUCAAAUUUCAGUACAAACUUGGUAUUCAGCUCCAUGCUCAGUUCCCAGUUCAAACUUGGUAUCUUUACCAUUGUAUAUUCAUUUGCAUGAUCAUGAGCCAGUUCAGUCAUAUAUUCGCACAUCUAAUAUGCGUGAUCAGCUUAUCAGUUCUCUCCCUCAUAUACUAAUGAAUCAGUUACGCAUGCAUCAGAUAUGUAUGUUCAGUAUGAUAUGUUCACCUUAUCAAUCAUGUCAGCCAUGAAAUCAUGAUUAGUAGUUCAUGCUCUAUAUUUACGUCAAUUGUCUUUUGACUUAUCUCAUCUAAUCUCAUUCGAGGAUAAAUGUUCCCAAGGGAGAAAUAUAGUAAUACCCCACAUUUUGGACUAGAAUGAAAAUCUGUCAUUCCUAUGUGUAGAUAUUUCAAAAGCUUCGAAUUCUAUGUAAAUUUAGUGUUUUAAUCAAUUAUGUAGUGUGGGAAUCUAUUUGAGCAUGAAUUUAGAUCAUAGAGGUUCCCUAACUCAAGUACAAGUUGAAAGUUUUCCUAUCGUUCAAGUUUUAGUGAGUGUCAAAACUUGGGUCAACUUCAAUCGAUCGUAACUCCUUGUAUAUAUUGAAUUAGAGGGCCUACUAUAUAUCAAAUGAAAUAUCUUUGAAUUAGCUUUUCAAAGAUACCAAUUUCGCCCAAAUCUGACACCCGAGCUAGAAGUUAUGACUUUGCAAAGUGGAGUACGUCGCCUAAUGUAAGGUGUGCGAUGCACAACCUAAAGUAUGCCAUAAGUUAUGCGACGCACCACCUAAUAUGUGCGAUAAGGUGUAAGACUUACACCCUAAUGUGUGUGAUAAAGUGUGCGCCGCACAUGUUGUAGUCCAGGUGACUUAAACAGUUCGUUUUUGGGGCAAAAUGGUCUUUUUCCCACCCCUAUGUAAUGCCUAAACAGAGAAUUAAGCCCUUAUUUCACCAAAACAUAUUCUUUAUCUCAAAAUCCUCUCAAGAACACAAGCUAGGGUUUUCAUAGAAGAUUUAAGUUCAAGCAAUUCUCUUCAUCAAUCUUUAUGUAAUUAAGAAAUAAGGUAUGUGUGGUGUUCAAACACGGAUCCCUUUCAUCCGUAGAGCUCAAGAACCAUGUUUUAAACAAUAAAUUGUGAUCUUUAUGUGGUUAUGUGAUUAUGUUCAUGUUGAUGGUUGUUAAUUGUGCUUCAAGAUGGUAUCUAAAUGUGUUUCCAAGAAGUGUAUGGGCAUGUUAAUUUGAAACCCAUGAAUUUGGGUGGUUCAAGAUUUCUAAAUUUGUUAAGUACACCUAUGCUAAAUAUUAUGCAUGUAAGGUGUUUCAUAAAAUGCCUAGAAUGAUAAAAAUCAUGUAUUAUAACUUAGGGGUGAACUAUAUGAUAAAUUCAUGCUAGUCUAUUAUGUUCAAAGAGUUCACUUGUCAUUGUUGUGCAAUAUAUGUGUUAAUGGAAUGUACAUGAUGAUUGGGGAAUGGAUUCAUAGGGUGUCUAUAUUCCUUCCAUGCUAUGAACGAGAUCAUGAUUCUUAAGUAUCACAUGAGUUAUCCCCAAAUUAUUACAAUAUAAACUAAAUGUUACAUGUUUACCAUUCCCUUAUGCUUAAAUGGUUUCCAUGCCAUUGUUAUGAAUAGUAUAUGUGUUGAAAUUCCCAUGAUAUUAGAAUAUGAGAUUUAUGAUUUGAUUUCAAGCAUUCCCAUUCAUGUUAGAUAUUAUGAUGACCAUGUACUUCAUGAAAUCCCUCACUCAUGUAUUAUGGAUUAUUAUUGAUGGUCAUGUAUUCAAGAAAGUCACGUUGUGUCAGUUUCCUUCCAUCGAGUCCUGGGGGUACUUGUACCCAAAAAAUGUAGUUGUGUGCCUAGAGCCAUAUCAUGUUAUCACGAUACUCUUAAUCAAGCCAUGAUCUAUAGAAUUCAGUCAGUUAUGUGACUCAAAAAAACCCAGUAAUUUCAGUAAUCUUAAUAGUCCAGUAAUCUCAGUAAUCUCAUUGCUCAAUAACCUCAGGAACCUCAGUAUUCACAGUUAAUCUUAGUAAUUUUAGUACUCUUAACCAGUCCUCAGAACUCAGUACAUUUCGUCAGUCAUCAAAAUCCAAUAAACUUAGUUUAGUUCCACUAAACAAUACCACUAGUAUCAGUCCAGCUAAUCAGUAUCAGUUCAGUUAAUUAGUUUUUUUCAGUUAUUCAGUUCAGCGUAGUUAUUCAGUUUAGUGUCCUUCAGAUGGGAGUAAAAGUUAGCACCGAGUGAACCCAAGGAUGGGAACUCACCUACCAUUUCAAGGUGUAAUUCUUAGCAGUCAGAUUAGGGUUAAUGAGAUGGCUUAACCUGUCAGAUAAGGGUCACUCACAGCUGGUCUUACCAGUAGCACGGUAUUGACACCCCUCCAGUUGGGGGAAAGACGGGACCCCAACUUAGCUAUAUGCAUUAUUGGGGCAUGUCGGUUUGACAACUACUUCCCACAGUCUCAGUUUCAGUCCCAGUCUUAGUAAAAGAACUUAGAUAGUCUUCAGAUUUUAGGAAUGUUAGAUACAGUCAACUCAGAAAUAGAACAGAACUCAGAUAGUUCCUUCAAAUUUAUGGACUGUCAGAUACAGUCACUUAUGCUAUUAUUUAUAUCAGUUCUUAGAACCCAUGUUAUCAGUCACACCAGUUAUCAGAAUUCAUAAUAUCAAUAUUCAGCUUUAGGACUGUCAGACACAGUCAACCAGACCAGUUCUUCAUAAUCAGAACUGUCAUAUACAGUUAUUCAUGUAUCAGUAACAUAGUACUAGUCCCUCAUAAUUUAGUAAUACAGUAUCAUUUCCUCACUUAAUUGUGAUUUACAUACUCAGUAUUUAGUUUUAGGAUUGUUAGACACAAUCAAUCAGGCCAGUUCUUCAUAUGAACUGUCAAAAAUAGUCAUUCAUCUAUUCAGUAUCUCAGUAUCAAUACACUCAUGUUGUCAGUAUUCAGACAUAGUAGUCAGUAUCUCUACGAGUUCAUGCUCAUAUUUUUUGGUUCAUGCUCAUAUUUUUUUGUUAAGUUUGGGGAAAGGUUCAAGUUUUUUGUGGCAGUGCAAAUAUCCAAUAGUGAUUGGAAUGGUUUUAAUGGUGCAAUGGACUUGUUAAAAGGCCUUUAAAGCCUCGCGCUACGACAAACAAUGAUGGAUCUAAUAGAAAUUUUCUUGGUCCAAAUUUAUAUGGAUGGAUUAUUGGAGGAGACAAUUAUACAACAGAAGGUGUUUGGGAGAAAACCUAUGCGGGAAAGGGAGGUUGAGAAGGCCAUAUAUCAUCUUAGUUAUUGUUUAAGAGGAUACAAAGGGUCGAAAGGAAAGUGUAGCAAAAUUAGCUUAUGAAAUUGACAUAAAAAAUGAAAAAACUGGAUGAGAUGUGAAUGUGAAAGUGUAUCCAAAAAUGAAAAUCUAUCAGUCGUUGAAGAAGAAGAAUGGCCAAGAGGAAUUGAGUUGGUCAUUGAGGCCACGCUCACUACUUGCAUUCUCGAUCAAAGUGUCCAUCUCCAGUCCUGUUGACCAUUCUUUUUUUUUCAUCGACUGACGAAUUUUUAUAUUUUGAUGCACUUCCACAUUUGAAGCUCAUCCAGUUUUUUUAUUUCUCAUGUGAAUUUCAUUGGCCAAUUUUGCUACAUUUUCCUUCCUACCCUAUGUUUCCUCUUAAACAAGGUCUGAAAUGAUAUAUGGCCUUCUCCACCUCCCCCUUCGUGCAUAGGUAUUCUCCCAAGCACCUUCUGUUGUAAAAAAGUCUUUUCCAACAAUCCAUCCAUAUAAAUUUGGACCAAGGGAAUUUUUAUUGGUUCUAUCAUCGUAUGCUGCAUUGCAAGGCUUCAGAGGCCUUUCAAGAGGUCCAUUGUGCCAUUAAAAUCAGUCCAAUCACUAUUGGAUAUUUACACUACCGCCAAAAAUUUGAACCCUUCCCCAAACUUGACAUAAAAAUAUGUGCAUGAAUGAAUCGUCAUUAAAUCGUAACAGGGUAUCGACACCACCAUCUUGGAACACUUCAGCCUUAUCAGUUCGCACCUAUCAAACUAAACUGUAUAAUGUAGGAUCUUGUUUGAAAGAUCAGUGUCUAAUCGGUAAAAAACUGCAUUCACAAAAUCAUUGCACUUUAUAUGUGUCUUCACGGUAGCUUGAUCAAUAAUAUACAUAACUCGCAUGCAUGAAAAUGGGAUCCAUUACAUGCAUUUUAUUCUUUCUACUCCAUCAGGACAUAUCAAACAGUGUUGUUUAUUCAUCUGCACGAAUGUGAUGACUACUAUUAAAAUAGAGGUGUGAAGAGUCAUGACUUUUUAUCUUAACACAUUCAAAACAGCUGAUGAAUCGAAAUCUCCAUAUGUUGCAACUGAUAAAUCAACUAUUGGAAGAAAUCAAAAUAUCUCCUCCAACAUAUGGCUCAUCUGUCACAACAUAUAAUCUAUAUGUUGCAACAAAUGGUAAAUCUAUUGCGAUUGACCAGACUUUUUUUCUUUUUAUUCAUCUGCACGCGUGUGAUUACUUCUUGCUAAAAAUGUUUGAUUCUAUUUAGUUUUCCUAUUUAUAAAAUCAAGGGAAUUUUAUUAGAUUCUUCCAAGAUUACCCCUAUUAUUAAAUGACUACAUAAAGUAUAUUAUUCACAUUUAUACAUUCAAAUCAUAAUUAAUAAGGCCGAUUGGGUAAAAUAAUCACCUAAUUUAUAUUUAUUUUAGUUGGUGUGCUGGUGUGCCAAGCCCAUAGGACCCAACUAAUAAGUAACGGAGGGACUAUUAAAAAGAGGUAAAGACUUUUUAUCUAACACUCUCAAAACAGGUAAUGAACCGAAUACUCCAUCUGUUGAAAUUAAAACUGAUGAAUCAGCUGUUAAAAGAUAUCAUAGCAUCUCUUCCAACUUAUACUGUCCAUCUGUCGUAACAUAUAAUAAAUAAGUUGCAUUAGAUGUCUUAUUUGUUGCAUUUACAAACCAUCUAUUGUAACAGAUGGUAAAUCUGUUUUAACACCAGUCUGCUGCACAUUCAAUCCAUCUAUUCUAACAGAUGCUAAAUCUUUUAAAAAUACUGGACGAUCUGUUGCAACAGCUCAAUAAUAAUGGCUUUUAUCGAGUCUCAAACCGCUAUGAAAAGGUAAGAAAUAAUUAGCGUAAAAUAAAAAGUCGUGACUUUUCACAGAAAAUAAAAUGCCACCAGUUUGAAUGUAAUUAAUACAAUGGUGCUGCACAGUCCUGCCUUUUUGGCCUGACACGUCCAGAUUAUAGGUCCCUCCUUAAUCUUCAUUCAACUCUAUUUAUUUCUUGCAUUUUUUUCUUUCGUAUGACACUUGCAACCACUUCUCUUCAAAGAGCACAUUCCUUUCUCGUUGGGGUAAGUUUUUUUCUGAUGUAAAUUUACCAUUCGGUCGUAUACAUUAUAUUAUAUUUUGAACUUUUUUCUUUACAUUUGCCAAUUCAUGUGUGUUCUAGACAUGGAUGACCCUUUUUCGAACAUUACUAUUCUACGCGACAUAGUGCGGGAACUUCAAAGGCAGGUUAAUGACCUAUAGAGCGAGUUGGUCGCUAUGAGAGUGACGAUGUUUAGAGAGAUGCACAGACUGCUGUGAGUUAAUUGGCCGGCUGUCAUUAAUGAUGAUGAUGAUGAUAAUAAUAAUUAGAAUGUGUUUUUUCUUUUAGCGUAUGUAUUUAAAUUUUUCUAUAUCGGAUCUAUACCUAAUGUAUUUUAUUUUUUAUUUAAUGAAAAAUUUAUUUUUAGUCAAACUAUGACUUUGGCUUUUUAAUUCUUAUUCAAUUUUCAUUCUGUCUAUUUCUUCUAAUCUAAUACAUGCUAACAUAUCGACGGUUGGAGGCAAUGUUGAAUCCAGUAGGACUAGUAAUUUUGGCUUUUGAGUUCUUUCAACAAAUGGACCAUGUGUUGGAACUGAUUGGUCAUCUGUUGGGUUUCAACAGAUAAUCCAUCUGUUUCGACAGAUUUGUCAUCUGUUGGAGGAAAGCAUUCCAGUAGUUUGUGCAACUGUUGAGAAUAAUUGUGGUCUGCUGUAUUAUUUAGUUCAUGUUUUGCCUUUUUUUGUUGAUGCACAAGUUAUUUAAAAAAAACACUUUAUAUAUAAUAAAUGAUAACAUUAGGUUCACAACAAUGAGUUAAAUAUAUAAAAGUCCACAACAAACAAACAAACACAACACAAGUUUCUGCAAUUACAACGAUCAUGGUGGAUUAUGAUUCGGACAUGUAGUUCUUUUGUGGCCAGUGCACUUACAUAUGGAGCACUUGUUUCUUCUUGAUAAAAAUGAUUCUCCAACUCCAUGCCUCCUUUUGUAUGGCUUUCUUCCUGAUUUGAUAGUGCUCAGGUCAAUAUAUGGAGGAGGUAUUAAUCUUCCCAUAAGCUCUACUGGAAUAACUCAAGAUUUUUCGGGAGACACCGGAGUAAUAUGCCCACUGUAUGCCAUUUCAUAUUUUUCCACCGAAUAAUAUUGAAAGGAGUGCUCGUAAACUUCAGGUCUAUAUUUAUGUCCGUAUUGAGCUCGAAGGGCUGCCAUAUCAUAUGGACAAUGUAUUUUGUCCAAGUCAAAAACUCUACACGUACAAGAUCUAGUUUGAAGAUCGACCGUGGCAACAUCACCAUGAUCGGUGGUACAGAAUUUAUAAUUUGCUAUUUUAUGAGAGAAUAACCUAUUCCCCAAACUGAUGUUCGUUGAUAUUUUCUUUUCGAUUUCGAGAACAAAUCGGGUUCUUUUUUCUGGGCACUUGAACUGCACAUGCCUUUUGUUAAAAAAAUUGCUAUACUUCUUGCUUAUUUUUUCAAACAUAGCCUUGAUGGGAAAUUCUCUUUCAUCGCCAAACAAUGAAUUCACCAAUUCAUCUAUGUUUGAUGUCAUAAUAUUGUACCUAUAGAAAAGAAUCACUUAGUACGACAUCAAACUAAACUUGUAAAUCAAACAAGACAUUAAAUUCAUAAGAAUGUACCUAUUUGCUGGACAAAAUGUCUGGCUCCAUCUCUCGAAACCGACACGUGCAAGAAUUUUUUCUACCUUGGGAUUCACAUAUGCUAUUUGAUUGAAAUGGUCUAAAACUUCCUCUCUACUAUAUGCUUUAGAUGCUCUAUAAAAAAAGGUGACAACCCUUUCAUUGUUAUAGUUGUUUCGAAUGUUCUCUCCAAGAUGCCUGAUGCAACAACCAAAGUAAGCUGAAGUGAAUAAAAGUGAACUGAUCUUUGGAAUACUUGGAUGCCUAUCCGAUACAAAAUACAACUUUUUGGUAUCUUUAACGCAGCUUCGUAGUUGUUCAAAAAAAUCCAUAAGAGGCAUCACAUUCCUUGUCCGCUACACAAAAAGUGACAGGAAAGAUGUGAUUCUCUGCAUCCUUUGCCACUGCCGCUAGCAGAACUCCAUUAUACCUACUCCUCAAGAAGGUACCAUCAACGACUAUGACUUUUUCUAUGACUUUUCUCAAAUGUCAAAAAUCUUGAAUCCAAGCACCAUAGGAUACAAAAAAGUACUUGAACCUUCCAUUUUCAUCCAGUUGCAAUGCCGUCUUACUUCCGGGAUUUGUGGACUCAAGCAUGUAAUGGUAAGCAUCCAAGACUUCAUACCCAUGCUCAAGUGUCCCCCUAACCAGGUCCUUGGCAAUCCCCAUGGCCGUAUAUACCUUCCAAUAACUGAUCAGGACACCCAAAUCUGUAAGGAGUUGAUUGGUCAUAAGCCUUGUUGAAGGGCCUAUGCCAUUGGGGAAACUACGCCUGAAAUAUUCACUGAGGAUCUUUGCUGUGGCAUGAGGAUUUUUGCUCGAGAUGUGCUCCGAGCCACAUGUGUGAUGCUUUUCAUGUUUAUGAAUGACGAAUCUAUCAGAACUUGCGUACUUCACCGCUCUCAACCACCACUUGCAAUUCGAAUUAACAUAUUUAAAGCAAAAGACACUGCUCAAAUUAUUAACCUUCUUUAUUCUGAAAUCUUUUUUCAAGCAUGAAAUAAACAAAGUGUUGGAUAGUUCAUUCUUGUCCUUGAAUGGCAUUCCAAUAAAAAAGCCGGUCCCGUCGUUUUGAAGAUUUUUAGAUUGUAUCAAUUGAGAAGAACUGCACAUCGUAUUGGUCGUAUCAACUGGCGUAGGUGUUUGAUCAACAUCUGAAAUAUUCAUGUCUAGAUCAUCCAACCUAUCAUCAAAGAAUUCUUUUUCUUCUUCUUCUUCUUCUUCUUCUUCUUCUUCUUCUUCUUAUACGUUCUGGUUCUUAUUCUCUCUCGUCUUUUCAACUAUGUAAACCCUUAACACCGUCCUGGUUGAAUCACUUAGAUAAGCACGCAACCGAAUCUGAUCAGUUAUCUUGAAAGACAGUACCCUCUAAUUUUCAAAGAAGCUGUGCAUAUAGCUGAUGGCGAAUUCUUUCGGUUGAUAAUUCAGUUAACAAAAGUUGAUGUUUAAGUUCACAAAAUCAUCAUAUGAAACAUUACUUUGGACCGUCAUAGCUAUCGUCUCUAGCAUUUCACCCUCCUUCUAAUGCCAUACACAUCGGUUGCUCUUCUCGACCCAUUGUCCAUGAAAAUCCACCCCUAUUAUUAUUAAUCCCUCCAUUAGUGGUGCCUAAAUAAAGUCAUUUGUUAACAAAAGUUGAUAGUGAUUUCAUAGUGUCGUGAAUGAAUCCCAAUAGAUGUGUUAUAUGUUGCAACAGGUAAGUGAUGAGUCGCAACAGAUUUUACCUAUUGGGAUUUAUGUUACGAUCCUGAAUAUCUGUUGCAACAGAUGAAGUGCCUGUUGGAAUUGAUGUUAUAUCUAAAUCACCUUUGUAGUUGAUUCCAACAGAUGAGUGACAGUUGCAACAGAUAAUUAACCUGUUGUGACAGAUGACUUACCUGUUGCAACAGGUUAUUAAUCUGUUGUAACCUAUGUUGGAAUUGUGUUCAGGUUCUGUUGCAACAGAUAUGUCAAAUGUUGCAAUAGAUAACCCAUUUGUUUAAACAUUAAUCCAAUAUAUCAGUCUUCCAUUGAAAUAGAUGUCCCAUCUGUCGCAACAGAUGAUUUAUCUGUUUAAACAGAUGGAUCUUAUGUUAGAUUCAUGAUUGGGUUCUAUCCAUUGUUGGAAAACAACAACACAAUAGCAGUUACCCAGAUGAAAAAUUCAACUAAAAAUCAUAAUUUGACUUACCAACAUCUCCUAUGAAGUAAUGCCAAAGUGGAAAGUGAUGUUAGAAAUAAAAUUUGACCUAAGAAANNNNNNNNNNNNNGUCAAAUAGCAACAGUAGCGGUAACAACAACAACAACAAAUGGUCAACAAGAACAAGAUGAAGAUGAUAAUGAAGUAGAAAAUGAUGAUAAUGAAGCAGAAGAUGAUGAAUGAAGCAGCAGCAACCAUGAAUAACAAAAAUCGCUAGAGAGAGAAAACAACAAUGGGUGAGAAGAGAGAGAAAGAUGCAUUUUUUCUCUUUUUUUCCUUUAUAUAGGCUAACAUUUGGAUCAAAGUGUAAAUUUAAAAACUUGUGGAUUAUUUUUAAACUUUCCCAACUUUCUUAAUCCAUAAUAAAGUAAUUGUCACCUCCAUCUAAUAAUUAAGACUUGUGUCACCUACACCUCAUUUUAAAACUCUUUUGUCACCUGUGGCCCAAACCUCCAACUUACAAAACAUGUUGCUAUAAAAGUUAUGGGACCAGACUAAAUUAGACCUUCUUAAAUUUUUAUUUAAUGUUUGAUAUUCGUUUUAAAAUGCCAACAAUAAUAACAGUAAUAUAUUAGGUAUAGCUUUACAAGUUAUUUUUAAUAGAUCUUAAAUUCAAGAAAAAAUAAUCUAAUUUGAAAUGCUUUAGAAUUUAGAAUAAUUCAAAUUUAUGAUGCAUAAAGUUUAAUUAAUUAUAUUAGGAAGGAAGAGCUCGCUAUUUGAUUUUUUCUAUUAUCAAAGUUCAAAUCCGAAAUUUCUAAUUCAAAAAGAAGAAAUACUAUUCAUUCCGCACCAUAACCUUUAGUGGUGACUACAUUAACACUUUAGUUAUCUAGGAAGUUAGUGAUGGACUAGUUUCUGGUGAUAUUGUUCUAUAUGGUAUAGAGUCGGAUUUAAUUUAAUAACUUAGCUUAUUAAAUGACUUCUCUCAUAAAAAUAGAAAAAACGUACUAAUCUCAUACAAGUAGCAUUUAAACUCAUUUCCUUCUCUCUAUCUCUCCACCCUUAACGCCUUCAACCUCUACCUUGUGAUCAGCCGAUCCCCUGCCGCUGCUGACCUCCUACUCCUCACUCCACUGUACCCCACCUCCAUAUGUUUUUUUAAGAUUACGUAUAAAUAUCCUUCUGAAGAUAUUUUUGCUACUUAUCAGACAUCAGAAAAUAAUAUUGAUAAUAUUUCAACACAUACAAACACACCUAAUAUUCUCGAACCCCCACCCAUCCCAACAAGCACUAGUAGUUUAAGUAAUAUUUGCGAACAUUAUUUUUCAAUAUAUCAAAUAUGUUUGUUAUGUUUAUGUAAAGUUUGAUAGUAAUACAUUAAAAAUAUUUAACUGAUAUAAGUUAUUCAUUUUAAAUAAAAAAAAUAUGUAAAGAAUGAAUGAACUUUGUAUUUAAUUAAAUGCAAAAUGAUUCAAAAAUUAUAAGUUACAGGAUUACAAUUAAAUCACUACAAAAAAAAAUCGGGUUUAGCAACGAAUUUGUAGCAACAAGCACUUUUUCGUCGCUAAUUAAGGACGGAAUUGCAACAAAAUAGGUUUUUUAUCGCUAAAUAAUUGAAAAUAAAAUUAGUAGCCUAAUUAGAGAUAGAUUAGCGACAAAAAGUAAAAUCUGUUGCUAUAUUUUGGCGGUAAAUAUUGGCUCCUUUAUUUUGAUGACAAAAUUAGCGACAUAAAAAGGGAGAAAUCUUUUUUGACAUGGUAGAGACGGAAAUAGCAACGAAAUUUUUGUCACUAAAAUUAUUUUAUCAUUUUUUAAAAAUAUAUUAUUGUUUUUAAAUAAUUAGCAACGGAUUUUGCAUCCGUUGCUGAAUCCUUCACCCUACUAAAUAAAUAUUAGGGUAAAGUCUUUUAUUUCACUUUGUUCCCAACACAUUGUAUCCUCCGCCUCUCUCCAAAAACAGCCUCUCCUUUUCCUUUUCUCUCCAUUGUCUCUCAAUUGAGAAUAGAAAAUCGCUCAAUAUUAAUCAAAAAGGGAAUUAAUCACUCAAUUUUCAAUCUAAAUUAGAGGUACGAUUCUAAAUCUCAUAAUGUGAGUUGUUUUUUCCUCUUUCAAUUUCUUAAUUUCUAUGUUAGAUUUCACUUGUAAAUAAUAGGUUUGGGGUUGUUUGAGCUCUUUCACUUAGGGUUGUUCGAUUAUUGUGUUAAAAAGUUCAAUAAAUGGUUAUUUACUUGAAAUGAGAAUCGGAUUUUUUCUCAGAAUUUCUGUUUGUGGUUUUUUUAAAUUGAAAUGGUAGGUGUUAUUGGGGGAGCUGUACUACUUGUGGUGUUUUUGGCAGUUGUCCUUCUCUUCUUUUGUAGAUGAUCACAACAUACAUACACGUCAUGAUGUGGAUCGGUACAUGUUUCCCAAAGUUGUGCAAGAUAAUGCACAACCCAAUAUUUCUUAUGAGCUCCUGGAAAAUGCUAGUAAGUUGUAGUUUGACUUCAUUUUCAAUGUCAACUCUAAAUGGGCAGAUUUUCUGCAGAAAAGUUUCUAAGCCAAUUACUUAAGUUUUCAGCGAAUUUGAUUAGAGUUUCUUAAUCAUUUCUCAGCACUUGGAACACAAGGUGACCGAUCAUAUUGGGUGUUCUCCAUGGAAGAGUUGGAAGAAGUGACAAAAAAAAUUGAUAAAUCAGCAUUGCUCGGUGAAGGAUCAAUUGGAAAAGUACUGCUCUGAAACUGUUAGUACUCCCAAAUUAAUUUAAGAAGAGGGCUUAGUUUAUUAUUUUCUUGCAUAUAUCUAUUCAAAAUUCAUGUUAUAUCUUGUUGGAGGAUAAACUUUUUGUUGUUAAUUUUGUUAUCAUCCAUGUGGUGCCAUAGUAUUCCCAGAGGUCUUGAUCUCCGUGAGUAACUAACUCAAUCAAAUUAAUUUUUCAGGUAGUUUUCAUUAAAUAACUCAAAUCAGAAAAUUAAAUAGAUGCACAACUCGCUAAGAUAAGUAGUUGAUUAAAUAAUUUUUUUGCCUUUAUUAUGUAUUGUCUAUGUGCAUAAGUGCUAUAUGCAUCUCGACUUUGCAUUUUGAUACCAUAUAAUGCUGAUUACAAUUAAGAGUAAUGCAUAUUUUGAUUUGUUAUCUAUUGAACUUUGACAAUUAAUAUCACUAAAGCGAGUCACUUAAGUCGCUUACUUAAAGUGCAUAUGCAAUGAGUUGACAUCUUUUCAAGCCUUCUGUCCCAGGCCUUAUUCUUUUUUCGGCUCAAAGUUGGACUAUUUGGUUUAGCUAACAACUUGUAUGACAUAUCUUUCCAUAUCAGAUUUACAAGGGAAAAUUAGAGAAUGGAACCUAUGUUGUUGUAAGAGAAUUGACUGUUUAUAGAUGAUGCACUAGUUGAAAAUUCAAACUUCAAAUGAAUUUGCUUUCAAAUUUUUGCCAUCAACAUUUAGUUAGCCUUAUGGGUCCUACCCUCCCCAUUCCCCACUUGUAGAUUAUGUGCUGCAUAAAUCAAGACUAAUAAACCAGAAAACAAAACCUAUUUUUUUCUAUUUAUAUUUAGAUGCUCAUUCAGGUUGGUCUAAUUAGCUAUGAUUGUUGAUGUGGCUGUCUGGAAGUAAGCUGGCACAUGAAACCUAAGUAGAAAUAUUGGUGCACUUUUAAAGAUGGAGUACUGUUGGUAUUGGUUGUCCUGAUUCCUACAGAGUUCUGGGGCUGGGCUGGAUAAAUUCUCUGAACUAAUGCAUGAGUCAGUGCAGUAGCAAUUGUAAGGGAUGCCUUGUCCUAUGCUUAGACUGAAUCUUAAAUAUAGAGAAGCAGUAGCAGGAACAUGGAGAAAAGCCUCAAAGGUAUGAUGCCAAUUGAUCAACAAGUUUACCUGAUUCAGGUUUGAAACCACUUGAUUUUAGAUGAUUUAAUAAAUACUCUUAUCUUUAGAUUUGAGGAGAUUUUCAUCUUGUAAAUUCAAGUUGUAUAUGUUUUGAUCUAAUAUCUUCAUCAUGUUGUGGAGCCUACCUGGAACUUUGUCCAUUCUAUUUGAUAAUUUCCUAAAAACUAAGUUUCAUGAGAACUUUUGUCCACCAGCAAUGUAAUUUAUUAUAUAAGGGGUGUGCGUGUGUGUGUAUAUAAAUAUAAUUUUAUUCUUGAGCCGGGGGUCUAUCGAAAACGGCCUCUCUACUUCUUCGGAGGUAGUGGGAUGGACUGAGUAUAUUUUACCUUCCCCAGACCCCACUAUGUGAGAAUACGUUGGGUUUGUUGUUGUUGUUGUAUUUAGAUGCUCACUAAGAUUUCCUCUCUAUACAUGCUUAGAACCAAUUCUUUGGAGAGUUGUUAGUGAAGAGAUAAAACGAGCAUUGACUAAAUUUACCCCUGCCAGAAUUGCUAAAAAGUAAAGCAAUGAACCAUUUUAUAUUUUUAUCUAAGUCAUGGUUUUCUGAUGAAUAUUAUUUGGAAAAGGUUUUGCAUUUUUAUUUUUCUAGAUAAAACAUUUCUACCUUUUUAAAUUUUAAAAAAUCAGAAUAGCCAAAUAGACACUAUGUAGUUGCACUAGAUUGUGUUCCCAACCCGAACUUCACUAGAUUUUAUUUAGGCAACUACGUGCUCAAAACUAGUUCAAACACUUUUUACCACCUUGUAUGAUCAAGUUAAAUGACUUAUUGAUCCUGAUCGUAAGUUUGUCUGACACUAUGCACUCAAUUCAAAAAUCAUUGUGAUCUCCUCUUGUGUUUAUAUUGCUUGUCUUUUACUGGUUUGUUUGUCGUCAAUAAGUUUCUUUUUUGGUUCAUCUUAUCAACCUAUUAAAUAUUCUAACCAGUGCUUUCUAGGUAUUAAUAGAAAUAGCUAUUUAUCAAAUAGAGCCAAUCAUUUUCCCAAUUGUACUCUAGUUUAAUUUUCCAAAUUUGUAUUUUCAUUGGCAUCUAUUGUGUUGCUUUAGCAGAUAAAUGGUUGCGGUUGUUCCAAUCCUGAGAAUCUUACCAAGAGGUUGUUUUAUUUGGGAGAAUUAUCAGGCUUGUAUUCAGUAAUUUCUCUGGAAAUAGACUCUUCUCUAAGUACAGCCAAUGUAACUUUCUCUCUCCUUAUGUUCCUUCCACCUCUUUAUCUGAUUCUGAAGUCCAACUUCACUCUUUUCAGUUGCCUCAGUUUUUUUAUUGCCUGCUUAGCUCUCGUCCUCAACUCGCUAUUUUUCAAUGUUGUUGUUUUCAGUUCUUUCUUCAGUACUUGAGUUUCAUUUGGUUUUGCAUGCACUUCAGAUUCUCAUACUACUCCCUUAGGCUUUGAUGGGUAGAAUGUAAUAAUAGUUGGACAUAAUAUUGCAGUAGGUGUUUGGAAUUAGGUGCAUUUGUCUCAUGAUUUUUUUAUUGCUGAAUUUGGUCAUCUUUUCCUUGAAAUUCAUGUAACUUCCCACUCUUUAUUCAUCCAUUAAAUCUUGUAAGUUAUAUCGUCCACUCUUGAAGGUAAGGUAAUUGAGAGUGGGAGAGCACCUCCUCAAGCUUUAAUCUCACCUCGUCAAAUUCUAAUUCCAGGUUCUAGUAAAAAGUGCAUUUAGUAUAUUUUUUCUGAACGUAUACAGUUAUAUUAAGUCAUUUGAAAUACAAUUCUCUCUUAGGGACAGUUUUGGUUUACAUUUUAACUUGAUAUCAACUCAAUUGUUUUCUAUGGCAUGGUAACUUCGAAAGUAAAUGUUUUCUCUCUUCAACAACAAAAGAAGUGUUUCUUUUAGAAUUCCCCAUAUGUGUCUUCUGCAUUAAUGUACUAGGCUAAUUGUCUAUUAGAAGCUGAAUAUAUAUGUUAUUUGUUGGUGAUCCUGAGGUUAUAGGAGUAACAACAAUGAAUAUUGUUCCAUUACCAAUAGCGAGCCUGUACAAUUUUCAGCCCCUACCUUUUGUUGUAAUUUUUUGCCUUCUUGGUAUCUUUGAAAUACAAGAACUUCAAGUAAAAGCACUUUCGAAAAUUGGUCACGUCUUGGAAGAAAAGUUGAACAGGAGACAAAUAACAACUUGUGGGCAGCUGGGUUUUCAUUGUUUAUUAUUUAUUUAUUUGUUUCUGCAAUAUGUUCGUGAUUGCCCUCACGGUUUUGAUUUUCUAUUUAUUUAUAGUUUGUAUACAACAAACACUAUUUUGCAUUUUUUUCUUCAAGGGGAUGUCAUGAAUCAUUGAAUUUCUUGCUGCAGAGAUCUUCUUUUUCAUUUUAUGUUUGUUACUAUAAGGAAGUUACUGCAAAUUGUAUUAAGUGGUGUGGUUGUUAUAUAUGUAAGAGUUUGUGAGCAGAGUUUCUCCCAAGUCGGUGGGUGGCCUAGCAGUUAACAACCGGAGUGACGUAUGGGCAUGGAGGGUAUAGUAUUUUUGGUAUAGUAUUUUCGGUGAUAACCUUGUGCUCUAUGUUUUUUAACUGAAGAAAUUUAUGUUUUCCUUCCUGGUUUUAAUUGCAUUGUUCCACUUGUAGGUGCCGAUGGCUACAGACAGCAUUGAUGUGCUUGAGAGAAUCGUUUCACAGCUCUUUACUACUUCACAUGUGGGCAAUUACUUGUUACACCUUUUUAAAGGAUUCUAAGUCCGCAACCAAGGGUGUGGCCUAGUGGUUAAUGAAUUGGCCUGGUUUAAUAGUGGUGGUGAUGGUUACCUUGUUUAUGAUAUUGAUUUCUGAUGGCUAUAAUAGGAGCAACAGUUUAAUGAAGAGAAAAUUCAAGUGGUCUCUUAUCCUAAUAAGUUUUUUUGCUGAUAUGAAAAGUGAGCCACUGUCUGAUGCUAGUGUACCAAAUAUGGACGUGGUUAUUAAUGCUCCGAUCUCAGGAGGCAUCAGUCUAAUGCCCUCUUCUCUUAGUCAAGUAGACACCUCUGUUUUUCAACAAUUGCCAAGGAUUUUCUCGCAAAGUUGAAAUAGUAAGUCUUUUACGCUUGGCAAUAUGUUGAAUCCAGAAAACGAUUUACGGUCAAAAGAUGUGGUAAACUAGCUAAAAUAUAUUUGAACAGGAAGCUACUAAAUAUUUGCAGUUUAAGGUUUCUUGAUCAUCUUAGUUGAUUCAUAGGCCAAGUCGCCAAAGUUGCUAAAGUAGUGAUAAAUCAUGUUAAUAAAACAGGUUCUAUAGAAAAUCCAUCCAUAAAAAAUGAUGUCACAAUGACAGUCCAAAAUAUUUCUGAUUUGAACUAAAAGGGAAGUGUUUCUGCUAAUUUCUACUUCUGUCAUGUUCUUUGUUGCAGUGAGUUGUUGUGCAAUAGCAAGAUUGCUAUUGUCCAACUUGGUUUGUGCAUUCUAACCUUAAUAGAAUUGCGGUGCAGGUUGCUAGAUACUCCUAAUGAACAACUGGCCUGGGGUGAGCAAAUUAGUUAACUGGAACGAAUACCCCCAAUGGAAAUCACAACUACUCUCAACUGUUGUACCUGGUCUAGCUAAAGAUGGACAUAAUUAUGUGUUUAGAUGUUGCUAUGUUUGGUAUUGUGAAUGUUUAGAUUUUGCAAUCUAUCUAUGUGGGUUCUUUUAUAUGAAUGUUGGAUAUUUUAAGAAGACCUAUCUAUAUAUGUGGGUUCUUUUGUAUGAAUGUUGGAUAUUUUAAGAAUUUUAUAAUAUGCUUUUAAUAUGAUUCACGAUGGUGUAUGUAAAAUACAAACAAAAAAGUUAUUGGAAGAAAAGUAAUGACGAUAGAUUUAGCGACAAAUUUAAUCAUUGCCAAAGAAAAACAUUUGCAACAUAUUGAGAAAAAUAUUUUUUUUGUCACAAAAAUUAAGAAUUUUUAGCAACGGACUGGCAAUGAAAUAUUCAAAACGACGAAAAACAACAUGAAAUUAGUAACAACAUUUAUAAAUAUAACAACGAAUAUAUUCAUUGCUAAAAAAUAGCAACGGAUAUAAAGCGUCUCUUUUUCGUUGCAAAUCUAGCAACGGAUUUUAUUUUUUUCAUUGCUAAAUGAUUAGCAACGCGCAAUAUAGCAACGACUAGUAUUCCGUCGCUGAUCCAUCUCUAAAUGGCUUUAGCGAUGGAUUUAUGUUGAUUAGCAACGUUAUCGAUCUCUUGCUAAACGCGAUUUUUUUAGUAGUGAAUCACAUUAAUCUCACAAAGUUAAAUACUUAAAUUGAAAUAUAAAAAAAUUAAUAGAUUAAAUGAUUAAUUGACAAUUCUACAAAGUUUACAUCACUUUUUCAAUUCAUUCAUGUUAAUAUUAACAAGCACUACUAAAAAAAUAGUUUUUGCAACUAUAAAAUUGCGACCACUGUUGGUGAUCGCAAAAAAAGCGACCACUUGUAUUCUUUUUUCUCAGUUUUUUCAAAAAAACUUAAAUUAAAAAGAUGUGGUCGCUUUUAUAUUUGAAAAUUGUGAAAUGAUCAUUUUCAAAUUCAACUUAAAAUUUUAUAUUAACUAUUGUGUUUCUUAAAAAUAAAAAGCGACCACUUUUAGUCGGUUUUUGAUUUAAAAAAUUAAAAAGAAAAUUCUUUUGAAAAAACAACCACAAGUUGUCUGUUUACAUUAAAAAAAUAAAUUAAACAUAUUAUGUAAAAAGAGUGGUCAAUUUUUGUUAAAAAAAAUUAAAAAUAUUAUGCAAAAAAGAUCACUUGUAGUCGCUUUCUGAUUAAAAAAUAUAAAAAAUAAAAUAUUUAUGAAAAGAGACAAGAAGUGAUCGCUUUUCAUUAGCUAAAUCUAAAAACAAAAAUUCUGAAAAAGUGACCACAAAUGAUUGAUUUUCAUUAAAAAAAAUAAAAAUAUUAUGUAAAAAGUGAUCACUGGUGAUCGCUUUCUGAAUAAGAAUAUAAAAAAUAAAAUAUUUAUGAAAAGUGAUAACAAGUGAUCGCUUUACAUUAAGACAAAAUUAAAAAAAUAUUGAAAAAGCGACCACUUCUGGUCGCUUUCUGAUUAAAAAAUAUAAAAAAUAAAAUAUUUAUGAAAAGCGACUAGAAGUAGUCGUUUUUUAUUUAAAAACCAAUCUAAAAAAAUAUAUUUUUGAAAAAGCGAUCACAAAUGGUCUAUUUUCUUUAAAAAUAAAUUAAAAAUUUUAUGCUAAAAGCGACCACUUGUGGUCACUUUCUGAUUAAAAACAUAAAAAAAAAUAUUUACAAAAAACAAUUACAAGUGGUUGAUUUCUCUAAAAAAAAAUACAUUAAAAAUAUUAUGCUUUAUUAAAAGCAUAUUUCGAUUAUUAUAUGUAAAAUUAAAUAUAUUUUUGAUUGAUAUAUUUUUAUUAUUUAUUUAAUAAAAAUAAAAAUUAAUUAAUACUUAAAUUUGUCAAAAAAACUAUAUUUAAAAAUAAGCUAAGAAAUAUAUUAAAUAAAAUAAAUAACAUAACAUAAAUAUAAUUUUUAUUUUUUACUUAUGUUUCAUUAAAAUAAAUAUACUUGUCAUAGAGUAUGUAUGUGUGUAAUAUAUAUAUAUAUAUAUAUAUAUAUAUUGUGAAGAUCCUUACAAAAGUGAUUUGAACCUUUUGUCCUUCAUUAAAAGUCUCCACAAUAGAUAAAAUGGUCAUUUUAAUAUUUUCAUAGAAUUAUUAUUUAAUUAUAUUUAUUAUAUUCUAACAAGGAGUCCUACAAUAUGUGAUAAUUUUUAAAAAUUAAGAAAUAUACUAAAAUAUGAUACAUUAAAAUAUAUGGUAAGAGUUAUUAGAAAAAUUAAUAGCUAUUAAGUCCUAAAAUAUAUGGUAAAUAAGGAGGAAAAUUUUGAAAAAGAAGUGCACGUUUUAGGCAAAGAAAUACACGUUCAAAAGGAAAAAAGGAAUAAUAAAUUAAGUACAUAACUUAUUAUUAUUAUUCUAAUAUUGUUGUUGUAAGUUUUAAAUUUAACUUUUUGUUAUUAUUUGAUAAUAUAUUUUUCAUAAAUUAUAAAUUAAAUAUUUUUAUAAGAUUUAAAAUUAAAGAGUUCUACAAUAUGGUAUGAGAUAUUAAGAGAAUUAAUAACUAAAAGAAUUACUAGUGAUUUAUACUUUUUGUCCUUCAUUAUAAGACGAAAAUUGUCUUUUUACUAUUUUUAAUUUACUAUUUAAUUAUUUUUAUUAUAAACUAAACUCCUAAAAUAUAUGAGACUGCUAAAAUAUAUGGAAAGAAAAUUAAUUAAUAUUUCUUUUUUAUUGUCAAUUAGAAAAUACUCCUAAAAUAUGAUACAAAAAAUACUCCUAAAAUAGGACUCUAUUAAUGAAAUACAUCUAUAAAUAUUGAGAUGCACAUUAAACUAUCGUAGAAAUCGAUUUACUUAUUGAAAAAAUAUGAUUGAUGCCCAUCUAACUUGAUUCGGUUGCAUGUCUAGAUUGAUGGAUGCUUAAUUUUCUAACCCUCAACUACUUCACUGUUUUGGUCAUCAUAAUAGAAUUCGAUGUGUGUGUAUAUAUAUAUCUUCUUUGUUUUUAUUCAAGUCAUUUUUUAGGAUCAAAAUUUUUGCUCAGACAAAGAAUUAUUUUCAUCAAAAUUGAAGCUUGAUGAUCACUAUUUUAUUAUUUUUUUGUAAUUUACAGGUGGUAGAUGAAUGUCGGUCGGCUUUGAGGAAUUUUUAGAUAAAAGUUAGAUUUAAUUGUAUUGUAUUUAUAUCUUUGUUUUGAGAAUUUUUUUAUGUACAAAUUAAGUUUAGUUGUAUUAUUUUGAUAUCUCUAUUUCGUAUUAUUUUUUAUAGUUACAGUUGGUAGAUGAGUGUCAGACGACUUUGAGGAAAUUUUUCUGUAAAGGUUAGAUUUAAUUAUAUUAUUUUAAUAUCUCAUCGUAUUAUUUUGUAAUUUACAGAUGGUAGAUGAAGUCGAUCAAUGUCAAUCAACUUCGAUAUUUUUUUUUUAUAAAGGCUAAGUUUAAUUAAAUAAAUUCUCCAAAAGAUGUUGAAUUUAAUUAUUGUAUUCAACAUCUUUAUUAUUUAAAUAAAUAUCUUAUUUAGUGUAACUUUGAACUCAAUAAAGUGAGGUACACGCGCGAGACGUGUACAUCUAAACUAGUUAAUUAAUUAAAUGUAUAUAUAUUCAAAAACAACACAUUUGUGGUCGCUUUUUUAUAAAUUUAAUUAAUUAAAUAAUUUUUAUUAAAAUUAAUUAUUUAAUUAAAAUAUAAAAAAACGACCACACGUGAUCGUUUUCUUAUAUUUAUUUAAUUAAUUUAUUUUAAUAAAAUCAAUCCCUUAUGAUCACUUUUAAAUAUAUAUUAAUUAGUUAAUUUUAAAAAAAACGAUCAUAUAUGACCUCUUUUAUUAAAAAUAAUUAAUUAAAUAAAUAUAAAAAAAUCGAUUACAUGUGCAUUUUGAAAUUUUGAAAUUAAAUUUUAUUAAAUCUAAGUGUGUGCUCAUUGAUCCAAUGGCUGUAUUCUAAUUGACAGUUGGGCCAGGCUGUUGUCAGCCUUAAUAUUAUAAAAAAAAAUAAAAAUUAAACUGGAUCGGUCUGGUCUGAUGCAUCGAUGAUUUUGGUCCAAUUUGGUAACUGGGCCGGUCUAUUGGGCUCCUUGAACCAGACGACCUAGCCCACCUACCUAGCCCCAAACUCGUCCAGUUAAUUGAUUUCGAAUCAAACUUGUGUCAGUCUCAUUUUGGGUCUAAUUGGGCUGAGCGGUCCUGACUCGACCCAUAUGACAAGUUUACCUUGAAGGCACAUUGAUUAAACUGUAAAUGGACUUUUUGGUCACAUUGACAUCUUUUAGAACUUUUACAAAAUUUUUACAAGUAAAAGAAAGGCAAUUCACAUUUCUUUUCUUUUUAUAAAAAUGCUCCUAUUUAUAAUAGGACAAGAUAGUACCUCCAUCAUCAAUGACAAACGUAUGAACGUCUCGAGAGUCAAAUAUUUGUAUCUUUUAAUGUUAAGAAAUAAACGUUAUCAAGGGACACUCCCAAUACUAAAACUACAAACAUCACAACAAACGUUGUUAAUGUUGUGGACUUCGUCAGAAAUAAUGAUAGCUCAAUCUAUCUAUAGGUCUAUUACUUUCUUAAUAACUGAAUUAAGAAUAUAAGUAGGCAAAACACUAACUCCGUAUUUUUAGCCAUGUUGUGUGCUUCAAGGUAUGGACAACUUGAACUUUUUUUUCAACUUGAACAAGAUUUUUCAUAUCAUAAAUCAUAGAUUGAUUCAUUUUGACGUAAUGAAUUUUUUUGUAUUCUGAACACCCAUUCAUCCUUAAUAAGCCUUUUCAAUGCCUAUUGAUAUCUCCAUCUUUAUCUUGUAUCCUUUUAUUUAUACAAUAAUAAUUUUGAGAACUGAAUAUGGUUAUUGAAACUUGAUCUUUCUGUAUUUAGUAAUAAUUUGUUUUAGUUGAGCAUGAGUUCUCGUGAUAUAAAUUUUGAUGCGUGUGACUUGAGUAUUAGCCUUUAAUUUUUUUUUGUCAUACCAAAGUAGAACAAAGGAGUGCCCAAGAUAGGGACCUCUACUGGUGCGCUGCUGGAGGCCCCCAUUGGCAUGGGGAAAUCUCUGAACUCCUUUGUUUUACUUUUAUCAUGCCAAAAAAAUUUGAAGACUAAUGCUCAAGUCAUACGCAUGAUAUUUUAUACUCCGAAAACUUAUGUACAACUAAAACAAAUCAUUACUGAAUAUAACACGAAAUAUUGAGUUUCAAUAGUCGUAUUUGAUUGUCAAAAUUAUUAUUGUAUAAAUAAAAAAUUAUGAGAUAAAUGGGGUGAUAUUAAUAGACAUUGCAAAAGCUUAUUAUAAGGGAUCAAAGGGUGCCCGAAAUACAAAAAAUUUCGGAUCAAUCUAUAACUUAUGAUAUAAGAUCUUGUUUCAGCUGCAAAACAAAUUGAAGGUUGUACAUACUUUGCAACACACAACAUGACUAAAAGUGCAGAGUUAUUAUUGUUUUAUCCAUAUAAACAUAUUAGAAAAGUAAUGUACGUACAGAUAGAUGAAAUGAUCAUUAUUAUUGAUGAAGCCCACAACAUUAAUAACCCUUGUUGUGAUGUUGAUAGUUUUAGUAUUGAGAAUAUAUCUGGCCAAAAUUUGCUUCUUAACAUAGAAAGAUACAGGCCUUUGGCUUUCUAGACUUUCAUAAGUUUGUCACGGAGAUACCAUCUCGUUGGAUUAAUAUAAGCAGGAGCAUUUUUAUAAAAAAAAAAAAAAUGAAAAUUGGGCCUUUCGUUUUAUUGAUAAAAAUUUUGUGAAAGUUUUAAAAGAUGCCUAUAUGAUAAAAGAGUUCAUUUACAAUUUAUAUCCAGGUAAACCUGUGAAAUGGGCCCAGUCAAGUUAAUUCGAACCAUUAGAUCGUCUGUUCCAAGGAGCCCGGUGGAAUGACCUCGUUAUCAAAUUGGACCAGGCUCAUCGGUGCACGGACGGGAUUGACCCGAUUUUAAUUUUUUUUUUUUUAAUAAUUGAGGCUGACAACAGGUUGAUCCAAUUGUAAAUUAGACCGUAGACAACCCAAAUGGCUAUAAGACAUUGGCCCAAUGUUUAAUUGUGCAGAAAAUGUACAUACUUUACUUUUUCUAGGUGCCCUGUGAAACAUGUUUAUGAAAUUUUCUAUAUUUCUUUUCUUACUGAUUGAAUUCAUAGACAUUAUAAUACUCAUUAUAUUAAACAAAAAGUAUAAUGCAAUAUUUCUCAGUUUUGAUUAUUAGAUUCUCGAGGCAAUUUUUUCUCGGUACCAAACACAAUAAAAUCUUAGAAAUAAAAUGAGAAGUCAAAUGCAAUAGAUGAAAACAAACAAAAAUAUAACAAAUUGUAAUCUAAGAAAAAGGCUAAUGAUAAAAAAGAAAAUGCAAUAAGUAUUUAGUCAUCCUAUUCUUUUCAUCAAACACCAAUAUUAAUAUAUUCAGAAAACUCAUUAGUUUCAUUCAUCACAAUAUUUGAAAGAAUGAGACCGAAUAUAGUUUCAUGUCUACUAAUAUUUUUGUUCAUCCAUGACUUAGUCAUGGUGAACAAAUUUUCUAGUAGCUUUUGUGUUGAAGCAAGGUCUCUUCAAUAUUAUUGUUCCUAUAUGGAAUUGUUCAAAUCUCAACACAUGGUGGCUAGAGAGCUAGAAGGUUUAAGGAGGAAUAAGGGAAGAAUCAUACCAACACCAUCACCAUCAAAACCUAAUUUGUUGAUUCAUUGGAGUCCUCCUUCUCCACCGACAGGGCCAGAGAUUAGUAUUAGGUAUGGGUUUAGAUGAACUCUCACUAGUUUUGGAAGUAUUAUGUUUGUAUAAGUAAAUGUAUUGAUGAAUAUGUAUCAAGUAUUUAUUUGUGGUUUCAAUAAAUAAGAC
RNAcentral lists this long non-coding RNA (34514 nucleotides) under Capsicum annuum. Its description in RNAcentral is "long non-coding RNA (CANN_LNC007678)". The record is from RNAcentral. Lineage: Eukaryota; Viridiplantae; Streptophyta; Magnoliopsida; Solanales; Solanaceae.